UUGUCAAAGGACUGUUAAUAUUUUAAUCAUUUAAGCACUCCGAUCGCUACAUUUACAAAGUGCUUUGGUGAGUUGUAGUACAGACACCCGACAGGAUAAAAAGGAUUAUAAAUACAUUGAACAAUGACAUCGGCCUAAUAAUAGGAUAUUAUGGCUAAGUUUGAACGAACAAGAUGACAAAGAGCAUAUUCAUGUAUGAGAGGUGAUGAUGCUAUGAUGUUAAAGCAAAGAAAAAACACACAAGUAUUUCCUUGUGAAUGUUGAAAAGACAAAAAUAAGAAUAUGAAUAACGAUGCGAAGCUUUUCAAGUUCGGAUUUCGUUGGUAAUCAUCAUCCAACGAGCCAUAUGAAAAUGCAAUCAGACAAGAAAUAAGUUGUGGGACUCAUGGUACCGCUUUUUUACAAAGAUAUUAUUUGCUUAAAGAAAUAUGCAAAUAAACACCGGAGAAAAGGCAUACAAGUGUGCAACUUGUGGGUCUGUGUUUGCUCUAAAGGUUUCUUUACAAAGACACGUUAAAAUUCAUACUGGUGAGAAGCCCUUCAAGUGUGUUACAUGUGGUGUUGCUUUUUCUAGGAGAGAUAAGCUAACAAAUCACAUGAAACAUCACUCAGGAAAACAUGAAAAUUCUGUACCUAAUUUAUCUCGAUUGCCAAGCUGUAUGAAUUCACACAUUGGAGGGAAGCAACAUAGGUGCGAGACAUGCGAGGCUUCUUUUCUGAAUAAAUCUGAUUUACAUAAACACAUGAGAAUACACACUGAUUGCAAACCAUACAAGUGUGAUAUGUGCGGCGCUUCUUUUUAUCAUUACUAUUAUUUACACAACCAUAUUUAUAAACACAUAAUGGAAAUGCCAUACAAGUGUGCGACUUGUCUGUCUGCGUUUUCUGAAAAGGUUGCUUUACUAAGACACAUGGGAAAACAUACUGGAGAGAAGCCAUACAGGUGUGCGACUUGUGGGUCUGCGUUUGCUUUAAAGGUUACUUUACUAAGGCACGUUAAAAUUCAUACUGGCGAGAAGCCCUUUAAGUGUGUUACAUGUAGUGCUGCUUUUUCUAGGAGAGAUAAGCUAAAAAGUCACAUGAAACAUCACUCAGGAACGCAGGAAAAUUCUUUACCUAAAUUAUCUCCACCGCGAUAUACACAAAUACACACUGAAGGGAAGCCACACAUGUGCGAGACAUGUGCUGCUACUUUUACAUUGAAGUCUAAUUUACGUAAACACAUGAUGAUACACUCUGGUGAAAAGCCUUACAAGUGUGAUAUAUGUGCCGUUUGUUUUACUCGAUACAACCAGUUACAAAACCAUAUUAAUACACACAUAGGAUUGAAGCCAUACAAGUGUGAUACAUGUGGAAUAGCGUUUACUCAAAGUGGAGGUUUACAGAAGCAUUUAAGAGUACAUACUGGAGAGAAGCCCUUUAUUUGCGAGGCAUGUGGUGCUGCUUUUGCAUGGAAACAUAAGUUACAAAUUCACAUGAGAAUACACACGGGAGAAAAACCAUUCAAGUGUGCAGAGUGUGGUGCUGCAUUUUCUAGGAAAGAUAAGCUUCAAAGACACAUGAUAAGACAUACAGAAAAGAACGCAAAGGCUUUACCUCAUUCAUCGCAUUUGCCAAACAGUAUGAUUGAUAACACUAGAAGGAAGAAACAUAAGUGUGAGACAUGUGCUGCGUCCUUCAUUGAUGCGCAUAACUUACGUACACACAUGAGGAUACACACCGGAGAAAAGCCAUACAUGUGUGUUGUCUGUGGCGCUUCUUUUAAUCAAAGAGGCCAUUUAAAAGUCCACAUGAAUACUCACACUGGAGAGAAGCCAUACAAGUGUGCGACAUGUGGGGCGUCGUUUUCUACAGCAGGUGCUUUACAGAUGCACAUAACAAUACACACUGGGGAGAAGCCCUUUAAGUGCGAGGUUUGUGGUGCUGGUUUUAUAACCAGACAAAAGGUUCGAAUUCACAUGAGACGACAUACCGGGGAGAGGCCCUACCUGUGCGAAAUAUGUGGUGCGGUUUAUUCUGGCAAUGAUAAGCUUCGAAUUCACAUGAAGCGACAUACCGAAGAGAAGCCCUUCAAGAGCUGAGCAUGUGGUGCGGUGUUUUUGUAGUAAUGAUAAGCUGCAAAACCGCACGAGACGACACAGAAAUGCAAAUGGACUUGUGGCACCUAAAGAUGACAUCUCUAGACCCAUGAGAAUUCAUACUUAUGAGAAACCCUUGAUGUGUAAGGCAUAUGGUGUUGUUGUUUCUUUAGCAAGAUAAGCUCCGGUGAUUUGGUGAUAUUGUUUUCAAUUAAAUGGUAUCCUAUAUACGACAAUAAUGUGUAAGAACUGCAAACACGUUGUUUGAUUUGAAUAUAGUGCAAAGGUUUUAAUACUUUUCUCAAAAGUAUAGGCUGGAAGAAAACUUUAAAUGUACCGCCUAUUGUUCAUGUUUUAAACAUUACAUAUAUAUAUAUUGGAAAAAACACACGAUUAAAACAUAGAUUAUAAAACUAUACGGAUAUCCUAGUAAUGCUUGACAAUAAUUUUAGUUUCAUUGAACCCUAUCAAAUAAUAAGGAUAAAUGUAUUAAGACCCCGACAAGUUUUGAAACUAAAUAUAAAGUAUUUAUAACAUCCAUGUCGUAUGAAUUCGAUGACACUAAAUAUUAUCGAUUUUAUUAUAAGGCUAUGCUGUUUACAGGCAGACAUAUAAUGGAGUGAAGCCCUUCAAGUGUUAGGAAUGUGGCGUUGUUUUUGUGUUGGACAGAUAUGCUCCGAAUUCACUCAUAUGAGACGAAGUACGUUGGAAAGCAAAUGGAUAUGCGACACAUGGACAAGGGCAUUUAAAGCUGCACUCUAACAGAUAUACCUCUUUUUUUUUAAAAAAUGUGUACAUAUCUGCAAACCAAUGAUAUGAAAUUGCUGACAAAAUAUCAAAUCGUAGAUUUAAUAUUUCCGCUCGAAAUGUUAUGUUUUAUGGAUUAAACCGUUACUAACGGUUCAAGAAAAAUGCAUUAAACAUCAAUUUUUGAACUUAAAUGUAAAAAUCUGCGAUCUAUUUUAGUCAGCUGUCUUAUGUAACUGUUUUCCAUGGAUUUUUGCAAAACAAUUACUCGUUCUAAGACCAACAUUAAAAAAAUGGUAAAACGGUCAAUCUGUGAGAGUGCAGCAUUAAUGCACACUUAUGAGACGUCAGACAAGGGUGAUACAUGUGGUGCUUCUUUCUCUCAAAGCCACUUUCUACAGUCUCAUAUGAAACUUCAUACAGAAGAAAUAUAAUUGCGUUUUUGUAGUACGUGUAUUGCAGACUUGUUACAUACAUAUAGAAAAUGGACGGUUAACAAACUGUGAAACAGGUGGAACAUUGAAUGUUUCAAUUAUAUGUAGGACAUUUUAUUACAUACAUUACAGGUUAUAUGACUUCAAAGACACUUGUUUUCAUAGAAAAUGUCAUUUUAAUGACAUUCUUUUUUUAGUUUAAUGACGUCAUUCUAACAACGUUCAAUGAUACUUGUUAUGACUUGACGACUGCUGAUUGUAAUAUGGCCGUAUUGCACUGGAGUGGCAUACGGACUUCCGUCUAAAUUUGAAAAUGGUUUGCGUGUUGAUUGAUAAUUUGUAUACAAUACAAUGUUUUCAGCUACAUUCCUAGAAAUGUUUUUGGUUCCAAAACAUGAGCGAGUCCCAUGAAUGCUCUGAUUAAUGAGGGUUAAAUUAAGUAUUGAUUUAGUUCAUUUUUUGUAAUUUGAUAUGUUCGACAAGUUUAUUGCACUCUUACAUAAAACUGUUAUGCCUAGCCAUUUUGUUGCCUUUGCGAGUCGAUGUGUUGGCAUGUUUAUUACUAAUACGAUUCGAUGUGUUGGCAUGUUUAUUACUAAUACGAUUCGAUGUGUUGGCAUGCUUAUUACUAAUACGAUUCGAUGUGUUGGCAUGCUUAUUACUAAUACGAUUUGAUGUGUUUGACACGUUUAUUGUUAUUUCGAUUGGAUGUGUUUGAUAUGUUUACUGCUAUUUGCAUUCCAUGUAUUUGAUAUGUUUUUUGUUUUUACGAUUCGAUGUGUUUGGCAUGUUUAUUGCUAUUACGAUUGGAUGUGUUGGCAUGUUUAUUACUAAUACGAUUCGAUGUGUUGGCAUGCUUAUUACUAAUACGAUUUGAUGUGUUUGACAUGUUUAUUGUUAUUUCGAUUGGAUGUGUUUGAUAUGUUUACUGCUAUUUGAUUUCCAUGUGUUUGACAUGUUUAUUGCUAUUAUGAUUCGAGGUGUUUGGCAUGUUUAUUGCUAUAACGAGUCAAUGUGUUGUGCAUGUUAAUUGCUGUUACGAUUCGGUGUGUUUGGCCGGUUUACUACAAUUUGUAUUCCAAACUUCCAUCUUUAUUGCAAUGGCCAUGGCCAUGUGUUUGACAUUUUUUUUGCAAUGUCCAUGACAUGUAUUGGACAUGUUUAUUUCUCUUAUGAUUGGACCAUGUGUUUGACAUGUUUAUUACUGCCAUGUGCUUGUGGGAUUCUGCAUACUCAUUUUAUAAUUUUAUAUAUAACUAAUGAAGGAACUGCAAUUGGAAGUUAAAUUUGUUCAUGCCUGGUAAUCUCGUAUACUUUUGAUAUAUUUCAAAAGGAAAAUUUAUCCUGAUAGCAUAUAUAUCUCUAUAUGUAAAAUAAA
Molecule: RNA transcript, 4637 nt
Organism: Mya arenaria
Lineage: Eukaryota; Metazoa; Mollusca; Bivalvia; Myida; Myidae
Gene name: zinc finger protein 234-like
Exons: 3
Source: RefSeq, a predicted model, not a curated record